RNAcentral lists this ribosomal RNA (388 nucleotides) under uncultured bacterium. RNAcentral's name for it is "bacterial SSU rRNA". It matches the Rfam family "Bacterial small subunit ribosomal RNA", at positions 8 to 423 of the family's 1533-position model. The record is from RNAcentral.
AGAGUUUGAUCAUGGCUCAGAACGUACGCUGGCGGCACGCCUAACACAUGCAAGUCGAACGAAGUAGCAAUACUUAGUGGCAGACGGGUGAGUAACAUGUGGGUAUCUACCCUUUGGCCUGGAAUAACACGAGGAAACUUGUGCUAAUACCGGAUAAGUCUUUACGGAGAAAGCUUUAUGCACCAAUGGAUGAGCCCGCACUUGAUUAGUUUGUUGGUAGGGUAAUGGCCUACCAAGACUAUGAUCAAUAGCUGAUUUGAGAGGAUGAUCAGCCACAUUGGGACUGAGACACGGCCCAAACUCCUACGGGAGGCAGCAGUGGGGAAUCUUGCACAAUGGAGGAAACUCUGAUGCAGCGAUGCCGCGUGAGUGAAGAAGGCCCUUGGGU